This 512-nucleotide ribosomal RNA is filed under the name Fusarium cf. graminearum IPBCC 11.881. RNAcentral's name for it is "eukaryotic LSU rRNA". The stretch from base 153 to 306 matches the Rfam family "5.8S ribosomal RNA". The record is from RNAcentral. Lineage: Eukaryota; Fungi; Ascomycota; Sordariomycetes; Hypocreales; Nectriaceae.
AUUACCGAGUUUACAACUCCCAAACCCCUGUGAACAUACCUUAUGUUGCCUCGGCGGAUCAGCCCGCGCCCCGUAAAAAGGGACGGCCCGCCGCAGGAACCCUAAACUCUGUUUUUAGUGGAACUUCUGAGUAUAAAAAACAAAUAAAUCAAAACUUUCAACAACGGAUCUCUUGGUUCUGGCAUCGAUGAAGAACGCAGCAAAAUGCGAUAAGUAAUGUGAAUUGCAGAAUUCAGUGAAUCAUCGAAUCUUUGAACGCACAUUGCGCCCGCCAGUAUUCUGGCGGGCAUGCCUGUUCGAGCGUCAUUUCAACCCUCAAGCCCAGCUUGGUGUUGGGAGCUGCAGUCCUGCUGCACUCCCCAAAUACAUUGGCGGUCACGUCGAGCUUCCAUAGCGUAGUAAUUUACACAUCGUUACUGGUAAUCGUCGCGGCCACGCCGUUAAACCCCAACUUCUGAAUGUUGACCUCGGAUCAGGUAGGAAUACCCGCUGAACUUAAGCAUAUCAAUAAG